Molecule: long non-coding RNA, 1418 nt
Filed under: Nicotiana benthamiana
Lineage: Eukaryota; Viridiplantae; Streptophyta; Magnoliopsida; Solanales; Solanaceae
Description: long non-coding RNA (NBEN_LNC004942)
Source: RNAcentral
UGGUGUAGUCAUCAUAGCCUUCACUAGGAAUAUCUAGAAUUCUGCCCAAUUCAAGUGCAUCAAAUUGCACCCUUAUUCCCUUCACCACAUUGGUCACUACCCCAUUUUUCACUGUGGCAUUAGCCAUGAACUCGAACAGCUCAUUUCUUGCCAGCCUUUCAUCCAUUUGAAGAACUAUGUUCUUCCACCCCAGUGCAUCUAGGGCAUCCAACUGUCUAAUCAUGUUUGACUCCUCCAGGUCUUUCAACAACCUUCCCUUCAGAAUCUUCCUCCUGCCAAAAAUGGCAAACCUGUUCCUUUUCAGACUCAUCCUCUUCUUCUUCCUUACUCCAUUAUUCUUCUUCACUCCAUUCUUCUUCUUCUUCUUCUUCUUCAGUAACUUUUACAUGUUUUCCCUUCACUGCAGACCUAGUUCUUUUUGCCAAGGAGGGUUCAGCAGGUACAGAUUUUGAAUACUUCUUUGUAGAAGUCUUGGAUUUCUUUGGUUUGGCAGUGGGAACCUCCACAGUUGUAUACCUCUCUCUUCAGUUCCAUCUCCUCCUCCUCUUCUUCAACGACCUCAGAACUUUCCACAACUUUUCCUUUUCCUUUUUCCUUCUUCUUUUUCUUACUUUCUUCUAAUGAUUUCUGUAGUUCUGCCUCACUUUGCUUGACCCUGAUCCUUGUUGCUCUUCCCUUAGGUAAUGAAGAAACAACAGACUUGGAAGAUUACACCUUGCUUUUCUUUGUUGGUUUGGAAGCAGUUAGAAUAAGCCCUGCGCUUCUUUGGAUCAUAGCUGGCCCCAACCUUCUUCAAGAUGUCAGCUAAGGUUUCCUCCACAGAUGAACCAUGUUCAUCUUGCUGCUCACUCAAAUGAACAAGGCCUUCAGCAGCCUCUCCAGAACCACUUCCCUCUGACUUGAAGUCACUAUCUUAUACGUUACCACAAAUAGCAAGAAUCUCUCCUUUCUUUUUCUUCCCCUUCUACUAGACCCAGACCCUUCUACAUCUUUUACAGAUCCAACCAACACAAACCUAUUGCCUUCCCUUUCUACCAUAUCAGAAAAUGCAAAACAAGUGUUUACCUCACAUGGGGUCUCUUUAUUUUUGUUAGUGUCAGAAGACCCAUAUUCUUCUCCUUCGCUGGCGGAGAUAUGUGUCUCAGACUCAGAGCUUGAGUCAGAUUCUUUAGCUGGGCUAUCUUUCUUUUGGCUAGUUUUCAAUUUUUCGUUUAAGGCUUUCUCAAGGAACCAGAAGCUACAGUUUUCCUGGACAACAUUUUCUACCGGCGAAAUUUAGGUUUUGGGGUUUCACUAGGAGGUCUUGAUGAUGAAGUAUUAGGAGAUACUAGUGGGGGAGUACCUGGAUUGUCUUGAGGAUUUGUCAUGGCAGAGUAUUUCUGGGAACUUUGGGAAUUUAGGAGAGAAGGAAGAUGAUA